GGGAUUGUAGCUCAGUGGUAGAGCACAUGCUUAGCAUGCACAAGGUCCUGGGUUCAAUCCCCAGUACCUCCA
RNAcentral lists this transfer RNA (72 nucleotides) under Camelus bactrianus (Bactrian camel). It matches the Rfam family "tRNA". From Rfam's summary of the family: Transfer RNA (tRNA) molecules are approximately 80 nucleotides in length. Their secondary structure includes four short double-helical elements and three loops (D, anti-codon, and T loops). Further hydrogen bonds mediate the characteristic L-shaped molecular structure. tRNAs have two regions of fundamental functional importance: the anti-codon, which is responsible for specific mRNA codon recognition, and the 3' end, to which the tRNAs corresponding amino acid is attached (by aminoacyl-tRNA synthetases). tRNAs cope with the degeneracy of the genetic code in two manners: having more than one tRNA (with a specific anti-codon) for a particular amino acid; and 'wobble' base-pairing, i.e. permitting non-standard base-pairing at the 3rd anti-codon position. Lineage: Eukaryota; Metazoa; Chordata; Mammalia; Artiodactyla; Camelidae. RNAcentral also lists the same sequence under 2 other names. The record is from Rfam by way of RNAcentral.